CGKGAAACCCGAGGCUCAACUCGGGCGKGCGGUGGGUACGGGCAGGCUARAGUGUGGUAGGGAGACUGGAACUCUGGUGUAGCGGUGAAAUGCGCAGAUAUCAGGAAGAACACGAUGGCGAAGGCAGGUCUCUGGGCCAUUACUGACACUGAGAAGCGAAAGCAUGGGUAGCGAACAGGAUUAGAUACCCUGGUAGUCCAUGCCGUAAACGUUGGGCACUAGGUGUGGGGGACAUUCCACGUUUUCCGCGCCGUAGCUAACGCAUUAAGUGCCCCGCCUGGGGAGUACGGCCGCAAGGCUAAAACUCAAAGGAAUUGACGGGGGCCCGCACAAGCGGCGGAGCAUGCUGAUUAAUUCGAUGCAACGCGAAGAACCUUACCAAGGCUUGACAUGCACUGGACGGCUGCAGAGAUGUGGCUUUCUUYGGACURRWRCACAGGUGGUGCAUGGUUGUCGUCAGCUCGUGUCGUGAGAUGUUGGGUUAAGUCCCGCAACGAGCGCAACCCUUGUUCUAUGUUGCCAGCACGUGAUGGUGGGGACUCAUAGGAGACUGCCGGGGUCAACUCGGAGGAAGGUGGGGACGACGUCAAAUCAUCAUGCCCCUUAUGUCUUGGGCUUCAAGCAUGCUACAAUGGUCGGUACAAUGGGUUGCGAAACUGUGAGGUGGAGCGAAUCCCAAAAAGCCGGCCUCAGUUCGGAUUGGGGUCUGCAACUCGACCCCAUGAAGUCGGAGUCGCUAGUAAUSGCAGAUCAGCAACGYUGCGGUGAAUACGUUCCCGGCCUGAGUUUGAUCCUGCCUCCGAUGAAAUU
This 810-nucleotide ribosomal RNA is filed under the name Brachybacterium paraconglomeratum. RNAcentral's name for it is "bacterial SSU rRNA". It matches the Rfam family "Bacterial small subunit ribosomal RNA", at positions 593 to 1412 of the family's 1533-position model. Lineage: Bacteria; Bacillati; Actinomycetota; Actinomycetes; Micrococcales; Dermabacteraceae. The record is from RNAcentral.